This 1695-nucleotide long non-coding RNA is filed under the name Lactuca sativa (garden lettuce). RNAcentral describes it as "long non-coding RNA (LSAT_LNC008751)". Lineage: Eukaryota; Viridiplantae; Streptophyta; Magnoliopsida; Asterales; Asteraceae. The record is from RNAcentral.
AAACACCAACACCAACAGCCACGACUUUCACUCUUUAACAAUCAAUUAAACCCAACUCGUCAUGGUUCCAAGGCUUGCACCUGCCGCCAAGUUUUGCCAAAAUACCGUUUUAACUCGUAUAUUUGUAUAAAAAUGAAUAAUAGUUGAAAAUACGUACAAAAAUAUUAAUUAUAUAGAAAAUUACCGCCUUAAGUCACGCCUUACAAACACCGUGACUCGUCAAGGCUCGGAAAAAUUUAAGGUUCGACGUUGCUGUAAAGUCAAGCCCCUUGAGUUAUUUAGAACAUUGAUUCAGCCCAAACACACACAACACUCAUUUUUUUUUUCUGCAUGGAUUCACACCAAGAACAUUCGUUCUCGUGUUUUCCAACGACCCAUAAGAACAACAGCUCCUCCUUUUGAUCUUCCUUUUCCUUUCCUGUCUAACAUAAAACAAACACCUCAUGGGAUCGCUGUAACAGUAGCCAGAAACUCGCAUUCGUCUUUCUUCUUUCCUCAACAGCAAGAGCACAAAUGGUGCUUCUUUUCACCCAUCGAUCAGCUAAGAAUCGUAUUUCCCCCUCCCCACCUUAGACGAUGACAACAGCCACCAGCUCCCGUUUCCACUCCUUCUCCAUCGAUUGAAGCUCGCCGGAAAACCAAUUGUUGUCCCUCUCACUCUUUCUCGCCAUUUAAGCCUCGGAAACCAUCAUAUCCACCCACCACUUGAUGUGUUUCCUCUGAUCUGCUUCACCCUCGCCCUCCCUUUGAGCUUCUACUUCUGAAUCUGAAAAUGGAACCGACGAGGAAGCCGCCGAAGCAGCCCCUCGCCACUGUUGUCCCAAUAGCAGCCACCUGUUGCUUGCGUCUUCUUCCCUCGACUAGUGUUCGUCGAUCAACCAUCACCGAACCUUCAAUCCAUUCGAUUCUUCCUGUCUCGACUUACCUGACCAUCGCCGAUCUGCCUUGAUCCUUGAUCGGCCUCCGAUUGACCUUCCUCUUUUCUCGAUCGAACACCACCGGAGCUUCCCCAUUUUCCCUUUCGUUUGUCUGUUCCUUUUCUCGAUUUGAAGAAGAUGCCGACAACGACUUCUGUCGACUCCCAACCUCUUGAUUUGUGAAUCACCAUCGGGCCAUCUCUUCUUCGUUCAUAUUGCAUUCCCGUUCCAAUCUGUUGAAGGCUAGGGUAAAUGAAAGUCUCGAUUCCCUUUUCAUUUAAUGAAUUUUGGCAAAUACCAACCCCUCAUUAUAUUUAACUGGUCAAAAUAAAUCCCAAUCUUCAAAUCUUGAAUUAAAAUAAGCAUUUCAGCCCCUUCAUUGGAAGUUCUUGACAAAAUCAAUCCCAAUCCCCAAACAUCGACUCCAUUUAUUCAAAACAACCCCUCCCUUAAUUUAUUUUAACAAAAUCUAUCCUAUGUUGGUUAAUUAAAUUACCAAACAACCCCCAAUAGUUUAAAAUCGUUACGAAACGGUCCCGAAAGUAUUUUAAAGUUCAAGAAUUAUGAUUUUGCGGUUUCUCACGUCAAGCUGCUCAAAUAAACUGAUUUCGUACAAAUCGAACUCACGUUUCAAGGGUGCGUGUUACAGACCAUCUUUUUGUAUUUUUACAUGUUUUAUGAGAGAAUACAUGUGCAAUAUGGUAUAGAUUCAUACAUAAUACACAAAAAAUACUAUUAUUUUAUGCAAAUACUAUACUAGUUAUGAAAUAAUAGCUUG